UGGGGAAUAUUGCACAAUGGGGGAAACCCUGAUGCAGCAACGCCGCGUGCGGGAUGACGGCCUUCGGGUUGUAAACCGCUUUCAGCCAUGACGAAGCUUUUGUGGCGGUAGUGGCAGAAGAAGCACCGGCUAACUACGUGCCAGCAGCCGCGGUGAUACGUAGGGUGCGAGCGUUGUCCGGAAUUAUUGGGCGUAAAGAGCUUGUAGGCGGUUUGUCGCGUCGAAAGUGUAAACUCAGUGCUUAACGCUGAGCCUGCUUUCGAUACGGGCUGACUAGAGGAAGGUAGGGGAGAAUGGAAUUCCCGGUGGAGCGGUGGAAUGCGCAGAUAUCGGGAGGAACACCAGUGGCGAAGGCGGUUCUCUGGACCUUUCCUGACGCUGAGAAGCGAAAGCGUGGGUAGCAAACAGG
RNAcentral lists this ribosomal RNA (409 nucleotides) under bacterium. RNAcentral's name for it is "partial 16S ribosomal RNA". It matches the Rfam family "Bacterial small subunit ribosomal RNA", at positions 355 to 776 of the family's 1533-position model. The record is from RNAcentral.